Molecule: ribosomal RNA, 426 nt
Filed under: uncultured bacterium
Lineage: Bacteria
Description: bacterial SSU rRNA
Rfam family: Bacterial small subunit ribosomal RNA
Source: RNAcentral
GGGGGAUAUUGCGCAAUGGCCGCAAGCCUGACGACGCAACGCCGCGUGGAGGAUGAAGGUCUUCGGAUUGUAAACUCCUGUUGAUCGGGACGAACAACCAUCGGGAUAACACCCCGGAGGUCUGACGGUACCGAUUGAGGAAGCCCCGGCUAACUCUGUGCCAGCAGCCGCGGUAAUACAGAGGGGGCAAGCGUUGUUCGGAAUUACUGGGCGUAAAGGGCGCGUAGGCGGCCGCCUAAGUCAGACGUGAAAUCCCUCGGCUCAACCGGGGAACUGCGUCUGAUACUGGGUGGCUUGAAUCCGGGAGAGGGAUGCGGAAUUCCAGGUGUAGCGGUGAAAUGCGUAGAUAUCUGGAGGAACACCGGUGGCGAAGGCGGCAUCCUGGACCGGCAUUGACGCUGAGGCGCGAAAGCCAGGGGAGCAAAC